GGCUGGGGCAGGAGGGUGACAUCUCAGAAGGACCCCUCCAGAGCUUGUCCCUGCCAUGCGCCUCCUGUGCGUUGUGGUCCUGGCUGUCCUGGGGGCAGGGCACACGAAUGCUGGCGUCACCCAGAACCCGAGGCACAAAAUCGCGAGGACAGGAGGGAACUUGACCCUGCAAUGUACCCAGAACAUGAACCAUGAGUACAUGUACUGGUACCGACAAGACCCGGGACUGGGGCUGAGGCUGAUCCACUACUCUGUCCGUGUUGGUGAUACUGAAAAUGGUGACAUCCCCGAGGGUUAUAGCGUCUCCAGAUCAAAAAAGGAGCACUUCCACCUCACCCUGGGGUCGGCCGCCCCCUCGCAGACAGCUGUGUACUUCUGCGCCAGCAGUUACUCCACAGUGCUGCAGGGUCACAUCAGCCCCUCACAAGAAGGGCUCACGAGGCCCCCAUAG
Molecule: non-coding RNA, 451 nt
Organism: Loxodonta africana (African savanna elephant)
Lineage: Eukaryota; Metazoa; Chordata; Mammalia; Proboscidea; Elephantidae
Source: the annotation of a RefSeq genome assembly